Brienomyrus brachyistius is the source of this 776-nucleotide long non-coding RNA. RefSeq lists it as uncharacterized. NCBI's taxonomy places the organism in Eukaryota, Metazoa, Chordata, Actinopteri, Osteoglossiformes, Mormyridae. The record is from RefSeq and is a predicted model, not a curated record. The transcript has 3 exons.
UCUCCCCCAGUCUGGAGGCCCCAGUUCUCCAGUUCCCCGCUCUCUCCCCAUCUCAGACACUCUGCUCCCUCACUUUUCAUAAGCACGAGUCUCACUUAAAAUGCACGAUAUGCCACACUCCCGUUCUUCUUUUCAUUAUUUUGAUGAAAUGAGCAGAAUUACACUUAACUUACAGGAUAAAGAGUAAACAAGCACAAACAAGAAAAGCAUAGAUAAAACUAAAAGACCGGUUGGAGCUUUGAAUGUAUUUCUUUCUUUUUAGCCUCGUUCAUUUGAUGGGCUUCCAAUGCUCCUGACUACAACCUUGUCCAUAUUUCACACAAAAAAUCUUCAAGGUCGCAUGGCAUCCUAAUAAUGAGAGGGACACUUUGCGUGCAGAGUUGUCCACAAGGCAAAGAGUUCUGUUGAUGGUGCAGAAAGGAUAUCAAGGUUUGGCAAGAUCCCUCAUGCUUCAGUCACCUGCCAUUCUUCAUAAAUUAUUGUUCAUCAUGACAAUGGUGUCACUCCCUAUCUCACUGUCUCCUGGAAGAUGCAUAUAUCUCUCUUCAUAUUUGAUACAGUAUUUUAUGCAGACAAGACUGACAUUCAGUUACAUAUUUCACAAGUUACGCAAGUAAUAAAUGAUAACUCAUCUUAUUACAUACCUGGUGCGUCAAAUGAGAGAGCCAUGUAGGGGAUAACCCUGUAGUAUAAAAGAAAGCAAUAAUGAUAAGGUUAGUAUGUGGGAUCAAAAAGGAUCUCCAUAAUGACAGAAACUUACACAACAGAGGUUCUGC